This 469-nucleotide ribosomal RNA is filed under the name uncultured bacterium. Its description in RNAcentral is "partial 16S ribosomal RNA". It matches the Rfam family "Bacterial small subunit ribosomal RNA", at positions 28 to 507 of the family's 1533-position model. The record is from RNAcentral.
AACGAACGCUGGCGGCGUGCUUAACACAUGCAAGUCGAACGAUGACCUCGCGCUUGCGGGCGCGCUUAGUGGCGAACGGGUGAGUAAUACGUGAGUAACCUGCCCUUCACCCUGGGAUAAGCCUUGGUAACCGGGACGCAUACUGGAUACUACUUCCUGCCGCAUGGGGGGGGGUGGCGAGGGUUUUACUGGUUUUGGAUGGACUCGCGGCCUAUCAGCCUGUUGGUGGAGUAGUGGCUGACCAAGGCGACGACGGGUAGCCGGCCUGCGUGGGUGAGCGGCCACACUGGGACUGGGACACGGCCCCGGCUCCUACGGGUGGCAGCGGUGGGGGAGAGUGCUAUAUGGGCGGGAGCCUGAUGCAGCGACGCCCCGGGCGGGAGGACGGUCUUCGGGUUGGGAUCCUCUAUCAGCUGGGAAGAAGCCGCUAGUGACGGUACUGGCAGAAGAAGCGCCGGCUAACUACGUG